Molecule: ribosomal RNA, 731 nt
Filed under: Biacetabulum cf. infrequens AW-2020
Lineage: Eukaryota; Metazoa; Platyhelminthes; Cestoda; Caryophyllidea; Caryophyllaeidae
Description: partial large subunit ribosomal RNA
Source: RNAcentral
UUACGGUAGUUUGGGGCGUCCUGUACGGGUUGUAGGAGAAAACUUAGUAAGAAGUGAUAAAUUAGUCGUCAGCCACUAUAUCUGUUUUUGGGGUAUUUUAUCUGCUUAAAGCCACGGCAAUGAGGUCAUGGCUUAGACUACAUUUGUUUUUAUUUUAGUUAAAACUAGGGUUAGGGUUACCCAUGUUUCUUGAGGAUGUUAUUAUUCUUCGGAAAGUGAAAAAAAAUUAGAGUCGAUCCCCCAAUUUUUAAAGUUACGUACCUGUUUAUGCGUUAAUUAGUAAUUAUAUCAGUGGUAUUCUGUCUCGCGACCAGUCCGACUGUUUAUUAAAAACAUCUCCACACGUUAUGAAUGUGUGGUAAGACCUGCCCAGUGAUUUAAACGGCCGCAGUAUUUUGACUGUGCGAAGGUAGCAUAAUUAAUUGCCCCAUAAUUGGGGGCUUGUUUGAACGGUUUAACGUGAUUGGGRCCUAGAUUACUAUUAUUAUUGAAUUUAAUAAGACCAGUACAGAAUCUGUCGKGGUUAAUUAGACGGAAAGACCCCAGGAUCUUUUAGUUUUUGUCUGGGGCAGAUUAUGCUAUUUCAGCAAUUUUGUGACCCUCAGUUUAUAGGAUUAAGUUACCCUGGGGAUAACAGGGUUAUAGUUUAUUAGAGAUCUUAUCGAAUAAACUGAUUGCUACCUCGAUGUUGACUUGUUUAUCCUUAGGCGCAGCAGCUUAAGGAUUUGGUC